Homo sapiens (human) is the source of this 485-nucleotide long non-coding RNA. The record is from Ensembl. Lineage: Eukaryota; Metazoa; Chordata; Mammalia; Primates; Hominidae.
CUGAAAGCCCCGCCCUGGAUGGCCCCGGGGUGACCCUGAGAGCGGCAGGCUUGAGUGGACUGCUCCCGGGAAGCCACUUUCAUGGCGUCCCCUCUCCAGGGUGCCCAUCUACCUGGAGCGUCAUCAUCGUCACUGCUGGAGUCUUGUCUCCUGUUGCCAAUCCAAGCUCUGGAGACACAAGUACCACAAGAAAGGUGUUACCCAGAGGCACUCGCCCAUCCUCCCUGCUGCACCGGAGGCCACACCAGCUGCCACAGCAACUCCCUGCUCCGUCCUCUGCUUUCUCAGAACUAACCUGGGCUCUCUGGAAUCAGAGACCUUCAACAAGUCACUGCUCACAUUUGCAAAUGUUCACGUCAAGAGAGGACCCCCUUUCCACGUGCCACUCCCCUCUCUUCCGGAUCAUUGCAGCUCUCCCCACCAGCCUUAUCAAUGUGGGGCUCCAACCCUACAGGUCAGUGAUUCACAAACAGGCACUGUCCCAG